Molecule: transfer RNA, 71 nt
Filed under: Therea regularis
Lineage: Eukaryota; Metazoa; Arthropoda; Insecta; Blattodea; Corydiidae
Description: tRNA-Leu
Source: RNAcentral
AUUACUUUGGCAGAUAAGUGCAGUGGAUUUAGAAUUCAUUAAUGUAGUUGUUGUAUUUACUACAGGUAAUA